UAAAAGUCUUGUUACACAAGAAAGAGGUAACACGGCAGGCCAGACUGCUCUCCUUUCAAGGGCAUCCGUACAAGGUUGGCCCUCUACUAGCAUCUGGGAUUAGGAUUUCAAGGAGAGUUCUCAUCAUUCCACAACUGGUAAGAGUGGCUCAUUGUGCCUAAACUGUGUGUACAAACAACAUGGUUUACCCUGAACACCUGCUUUCCUUUUGGAAGUUUGGGAUUUGGGUACGUGCAAGGCAGAGGCAGCCUAGGCCACCGCCUCCCAGUAAGACCCUGGUACUGAGCGUCCAACAGCUUCCCUGGCUGAUGCCCAGUAAUACCUGUUGUCAGCAGUCACUGCCGAGAGAGAGAAGCGUGCACUGUGUGACUCCACUGGGAGACGAGUCCUGGAAGCCUGGCUUCCUCCAGACUUCACCCCACGUGCCUUGCCUUUUUGUGAUUUUGCUUUGUAUCCCUUCACUAUAAGAAAUCUUAGGCAUGAAUGUGACUACAAACUAAAUCCUGUGAGUCAUCCUACUACAUCGCUGAAUCCCUAGCAUAACUGCAUAAUGUGUAUUAUAUAUACUACAUAAAAAAUUACACAAAUGUAAUUAGAUUUGUAAUUUUGUUAUAUUUCCAAAGAACAUCUGAUUCCAUGAAAAAUGGAAUGAUACUGUAUAUUUCUGAGACUAAUUUUACUUAACAUUAUUUCUAAAACUGAUCCAUGUUUUACAAUGUAUGGCUACGGCUCAUUCAUCUUCCACUUAUAAAAAGAAUUCCAUCGUAUGAUUACAUCACAAUUUAUGUAUUCACUCUGCAGUUGAUGACUAUUGCAUUGUUUCCAUGUUUUUGCUAUCCUGAGCAGCACAGCUAUGACCUGAUUCUCUCUCCCAGUGUGUUCCCAAGGCUCAAGUACACACCAUGGCUAUGAACACUAAGGAAGACUGAAUUCUAAAAAAAAAAAAG
Callorhinus ursinus (northern fur seal) is the source of this 947-nucleotide long non-coding RNA. RefSeq lists it as uncharacterized. NCBI's taxonomy places the organism in Eukaryota, Metazoa, Chordata, Mammalia, Carnivora, Otariidae. The record is from RefSeq and is a predicted model, not a curated record.